RNAcentral lists this ribosomal RNA (270 nucleotides) under uncultured Pseudomonas sp. Its description in RNAcentral is "partial 16S ribosomal RNA". It matches the Rfam family "Bacterial small subunit ribosomal RNA", at positions 1114 to 1382 of the family's 1533-position model. The record is from RNAcentral. Lineage: Bacteria; Pseudomonadati; Pseudomonadota; Gammaproteobacteria; Pseudomonadales; Pseudomonadaceae.
GUUGCCAUCAGGUCAAGCUGGGGACUCUAAUGAAACUGCCUACGCAAGUAGUGAGGAAGGUGGGGAUGACGUCAAAUCAGCACGGCCCUUACGGCCUGGGCUACACACGUGCUACAAUGGUCGGUACAAAGGGUUGCCAAGCCGCGAGGUGGAGCUAAUCCCAUAAAACCGAAUCGUAGUCCGGAUCGCAGUCUGCAACUCGACUGCGUGAAGUCGGAAUCGCUAGUAAUCGUGAAUCAGAAUGUCACGGUGAAUACGUUCCCGGGCCUU